GAUGAACGCUGACAGAAUGCUUAACACAUGCAAGUCUUUGGCGAAGCUGUGCUUGCACAGCCUAGCCAAGGCGGACGGGUGAGUAACGCGUAAGGAACUUGCCCUGCAGUCAGGGAUAACAGACGGAAACGACUGAUAAGACCUGGUAAAGUCAGGCGGACUCAUGUCCACCCUGAUGAAAAGAGAUGCUGCAGGAGAGCCUUGCGUCCUAUUAGCUUGUUGGUGGGGUAACGGCCCACCAAGGCGAUGAUAGGUAGCCGGCCUGAGAGGGUGGACGGCCACAAGGGGACUGAGAUACGGCCCUUACUCCUACGGGAGGCAGCAGUGGGGAAUAUUGGACAAUGGGGGCAACCCUGAUCCAGCAAUUCUGUGUGCACGAUGAAGGUUUUCGGAUUGUAAAGUGCUUUCAGCAGGGAAGAAAAAAAUGACGGUACCUGCAGAAGAAGCGACGGCUAAAUACGUG
This 463-nucleotide ribosomal RNA is filed under the name uncultured bacterium. RNAcentral describes it as "partial 16S ribosomal RNA". It matches the Rfam family "Bacterial small subunit ribosomal RNA", at positions 28 to 507 of the family's 1533-position model. The record is from RNAcentral.